CCUACGAGUGGCAGCAGUGAGGAAUAUUUGUCAAUGGGCUUACGCCUGAACCAGCCAAGUCGCGUGAGGGAAGACUGCCCUAUGGGUUGUAAACCUCUUUUGUCAGGGAGCAAUUUGCGCUACGUGUCGCGUUAUCGAGAGUACCUGAAGAAAAAGCAUCGGCUAACUACGUGCCAGCAGCCGCUGUAAUACGUAGGGGGCAAGCGUUAUCCGGAUUUACUGGGUGUAAAGGGGGCGUAGACGGUGAGACAAGGCUGAAGUGAAAGCCCGGGGCUCAACCCCGGGACUGCUUUGGAAACUGCCGGACUGGAGUGCGGGAGAGGCAAGCGGAAUUCCUAGUGUAGCGGUGAAAUGCGUAGAUAUUAGGAAGAACACCAGUGGCGAAGGCGGCUUGCUGGACAGUAACUGACGUUGAGGCUCGAAAGCGUGGGGAGCAAACAGGAUUAGAUACCCUUGUAGUC
This 461-nucleotide ribosomal RNA is filed under the name uncultured bacterium. RNAcentral's name for it is "partial 16S ribosomal RNA". It matches the Rfam family "Bacterial small subunit ribosomal RNA", at positions 338 to 795 of the family's 1533-position model. The record is from RNAcentral.